GCCACGGCCGCCGCCGCCAGCUGCAGGCGCCUGACUGCCUCCUUGAUGAGGUUCCCGGAGAGGAUGAGCUGCUGCAGGAGCCGAAUCCACCACUUGUCUUUUGAUGACAGCUGCUGACCAGAAAGAGUUCCUGGACUUAAGGUGGCAUCUUGGAGGUGACUGGAGAUCUGCAUAGAUGGGCAAAUCUGGGUUCAUUAUCAUGCAAUCCUAUUCUCAUAUUAUUACUGCUUCUCUUCAGAAGAAUGGAUAAAAGAGUUAUGAAAACUACAUAAGUAAAAAUACACAAAACUUUCCCACCAUACACCGGCUGCUCUGAAUUUAUUGCAGCAUCCCUAAGCAGAUUGAAUGGCAAAAUGGUACUAUUACUUCUGAUUAUAAACUGGCUGCAUAAGA
Long non-coding RNA from Gopherus evgoodei (Goodes thornscrub tortoise), 393 nucleotides. RefSeq lists it as uncharacterized. Lineage: Eukaryota; Metazoa; Chordata; Testudines; Testudinidae. The transcript is spliced from 2 exons. The record is from RefSeq and is a predicted model, not a curated record.